GAGGGUAUAGCUCAAUGGUAGAGUGCAUGCUUAGCAAGCACAAAGUCCUGGGUUCAGUCCCUGGUACCGCCA
Molecule: transfer RNA, 72 nt
Filed under: Camelus bactrianus (Bactrian camel)
Lineage: Eukaryota; Metazoa; Chordata; Mammalia; Artiodactyla; Camelidae
Also listed under: 2 other names
Rfam family: tRNA
About the family: Transfer RNA (tRNA) molecules are approximately 80 nucleotides in length. Their secondary structure includes four short double-helical elements and three loops (D, anti-codon, and T loops).
Source: Rfam by way of RNAcentral